RNAcentral lists this ribosomal RNA (207 nucleotides) under uncultured bacterium. RNAcentral describes it as "partial 16S ribosomal RNA". It matches the Rfam family "Bacterial small subunit ribosomal RNA", at positions 568 to 774 of the family's 1533-position model. The record is from RNAcentral.
CGCGUAGGCGGUUUGCUAAGUCCGAUGUUAAAGACCGAGGCUCAACCUCGACACGGCGUUGGAUACUGGCAAGCUUGACGGCUGGAGAGGCGAGUGGAAUUACCAGUGUAGCGGUGGAAUGCGUAGAUACUGGUAGGAACACCCAUUGCGAAGGCAGCUCGCUGGACAGCACGUGACGCUGAGGCGCGAAAGUGUGGGGAGCAAACC